UUCACUCGCCUAACAUCGACCAUGGACUCUCUUAGAUCCCUAUCUACCAAGAUGCCCACUCCACUCUUACCUCUCACGAUCCCAGAAUACCACAGCUUAAACCUGCCUGCAUUCCUCGCCUUCGACCCUUUCCACCUAGUCUCUUGGACACAGGCUAUGUUAACCCUCCUCUUCUGAAGAACCUUCGCCAACUCAAUGGACUUACCUGUCAGAGUGCCUAUAUUCUUCGUGUUAUUAAGACUAACUUGUCUGAUCUAGUCUAUAAGUAAUCUAUGUCAUAAUUUCAGAAGUUGGAAAUAACCUCAUAGUGCAGGCAAACAGAAGACACAAAAGUUCUCUAAUGGAUGCGGCAAAGGGUGACCGAAGAUCUGAAGUGAAAGACUCUGGGAGAUCAGUCAAAGCAGAUAGAUCAAUGGGUUGCAAGCUCAAUGAGAUUUAUGCAGCUUUAUGUUGUAUUCACCAACUCAAUGAACCUACCCGUCAGAGUGCCUAUGUUCCACGACCCAAUCCUUAAUCUAUGAGCGUCGGCUACCCUCCUUCCACCCUUACCUCC
Molecule: long non-coding RNA, 553 nt
Filed under: Nicotiana benthamiana
Lineage: Eukaryota; Viridiplantae; Streptophyta; Magnoliopsida; Solanales; Solanaceae
Description: long non-coding RNA (NBEN_LNC024685)
Source: RNAcentral